AAUAGAUACCCUGGUAGUCCACGCCGUAAACGAUGAGUGCUAAGUGUUAGAGGGUUUCCGCCCUUUAGUGCUGCAGCUAACGCAUUAAGCACUCCGCCUGGGGAGUACGGUCGCAAGACUGAAACUCAAAGGAAUUGACGGGGGCCCGCACAAGCGGUGGAGCAUGUGGUUUAAUUCGAAGCAACGCGAAGAACCUUACCAGGCCUUGACAUCCUCUGACAACUCUAGAGAUAGAGCGUUCCCCUUCGGGGGACAGAGUGACAGGUGGUGCAUGGUUGUCGUCAGCUCGUGUCGUGAGAUGUUGGGUUAAGUCCCGCAACGAGCGCAACCCUUGAUCUUAGUUGCCAGCAUUUAGUUGGGCACUCUAAGGUGACUGCCGGUGACAAACCGGAGGAAGGUGGGGAUGACGUCAAAUCAUCAUGCCCCUUAUGACCUGGGCUACACACGUGCUACAAUGGAUGGUACAAAGGGCUGCAAGACCGCGAGGUCAAGCCAAUCCCAUAAAACCAUUCUCAGUUCGGAUUGUAGG
RNAcentral lists this ribosomal RNA (529 nucleotides) under uncultured bacterium. RNAcentral's name for it is "bacterial SSU rRNA". It matches the Rfam family "Bacterial small subunit ribosomal RNA", at positions 777 to 1304 of the family's 1533-position model. The record is from RNAcentral.